Non-coding RNA from Heterocephalus glaber (naked mole-rat), 72 nucleotides. The record is from Rfam. NCBI's taxonomy places the organism in Eukaryota, Metazoa, Chordata, Mammalia, Rodentia, Bathyergidae.
GGGGGUGUAGCUCAGUGGUAGAGCACUUGCUUGGCAUGUGUGAAGUUCUGGGUUGAAUCCCCAGCACCACAC